UAGGGAAUCUUCGGCAAUGGACGAAAGUCUGACCGAGCAACGCCGCGUGAGGGAAGAAGGGUUUCGGAUCGUAAAACUCUGUUGUUAGAGAAGAACAAGGACGUUAGUAACUGAACGUCCCCUGACGGUAUCUAACCAGAAAGCCACGGCUAACUACGUGCCAGCAGCCGCGGUAAUACGUAGGUGGCAAGCGUUGUCCGGAUUUAUUGGGCGGAAAGCGAGCGCAGGCGGUUUCUUAAGUCUGAUGUGAAAGCCCCCGGCUCAACCGGGGAGGGUCAUUGGAAACUGGGGGGCUUGAGUGCAGAAGAGGAGAGUGGAAUUCCAUGUGUAGCGGUGAAAUGCGUAGAUAUAUGGAGGAACACCAGUGGCGAAGGCGGCUCUCUGGUCUGUAACUGACGCUGAGGCUCGAAAGCGUGGGGAGCAAACAGG
RNAcentral lists this ribosomal RNA (429 nucleotides) under Gemmatimonadota bacterium. RNAcentral describes it as "Gemmatimonadetes bacterium partial 16S ribosomal RNA". It matches the Rfam family "Bacterial small subunit ribosomal RNA", at positions 355 to 776 of the family's 1533-position model. Lineage: Bacteria; Pseudomonadati; Gemmatimonadota. The record is from RNAcentral.